AUUGAACGCUGGCGGCAGGCCUAACACAUGCAAGUCGAGCGGAUGAAGGGAGCUUGCUCCUGGAUUCAGCGGCGGACGGGUGAGUAAUGCCUAGGAAUCUGCCUGGUAGUGGGGGAUAACGUCCGGAAACGGGCGCUAAUACCGCAUACGUCCUGAGGGAGAAAGUGGGGGAUCUUCGGACCUCACGCUAUCAGAUGAGCCUAGGUCGGAUUAGCUAGUUGGUGGGGUAAAGGCCUACCAAGGCGACGAUCCGUAACUGGUCUGAGAGGAUGAUCAGUCACACUGGAACUGAGACACGGUCCAGACUCCUACGGGAGGCAGCAGUGGGGAAUAUUGGACAAAGGGCGAAAGCCUGAUCCAGCCAUGCCGCGUGCGUGAAGAAGGUCUUCGGAUUGUAAAGCACUUUAAGUUGGGAGGAAGGGCAGUAAGUUAAUACCUUGCUGUUUUGACGUUACCAACAGAAUAGGCACCGGCUAACUUCGUG
RNAcentral lists this ribosomal RNA (484 nucleotides) under uncultured bacterium. RNAcentral describes it as "partial 16S ribosomal RNA". It matches the Rfam family "Bacterial small subunit ribosomal RNA", at positions 30 to 507 of the family's 1533-position model. The record is from RNAcentral.